AUGCGUGCGAGUGCGACGAUGCCAUUCCGCAGAGACGAAUCGAUCCAACGCGAUGGAAACCGGGCCAUGCAUGCACUCCAUCAAGUACGCACGUCCCGUCCCGUCCCGUCUUCAACCCGUCGGUUCACGCCGACGUACGUUCCCAAACUGUCAUCCGAACGAACAUCUGAACAAAUGGAAGCCCUUGCGUACGUCGAUGCUGCCUGCCUGGCCAAAUCCCGUCGGCGACGAGAAAAGCCAUGGAUUCCGCGUGCGUGCAUGCAGCAGCAGCCCGUGGAUCUCGCCCGCGCCGGCGCAUGCAUGCAUGUGCGUUCGUCCGACGCACCGCGCCGCGCCUAUCUCUCGCGCGCGCUAUCGGUCUCCGGCAGAGUUGCGUCCCGGCGGCUCCAACCGUGCCGUUGCCGGCCGCAUCGCCGUGUUGCCGGGCGAAAAGGAUGGCAGCUUUAA
Molecule: ribosomal RNA, 447 nt
Filed under: Triticum aestivum (bread wheat)
Lineage: Eukaryota; Viridiplantae; Streptophyta; Magnoliopsida; Poales; Poaceae
Description: partial small subunit ribosomal RNA
Source: RNAcentral